GAUGAACGCUGGCGGCGUGCCUAAUACAUGCAAGUCGAGCGAACGGACGAGAAGCUUGCUUCUCUGAUGUUAGCGGCGGACGGGUGAGUAACACGUGGAUAACCUACCUAUAAGACUGGGAUAACUUCGGGAAACCGGAGCUAAUACCGGAUAAUAUUUUGAACCGCAUGGUUCAAAAGUGAAAGACGGUCUUGCUGUCACUUAUAGAUGGAUCCGCGCUGCAUUAGCUAGUUGGUAAGGUAACGGCCUACCAAGGCAACGAUGCAUAGCCGACCUGAGAGGGUGAUCGGCCACACUGGAACUGAGACACGGUCCAGACUCCUACAGGAGGCAGCAGUAGGGAAUCUUCCGCAAUGGGCGAAAGCCUGACGGAGCAACGCCGCGUGAGUGAUGAAGGUCUUCGGAUCGUAAAACUCUGUUAUUAGGGAAGAACAUAUGUGUAAGUAACUGUGCACAUCUUGACGGUACCUAAUCAGAAAGCCACGGCUAACUACGUG
Molecule: ribosomal RNA, 497 nt
Filed under: uncultured bacterium
Lineage: Bacteria
Description: partial 16S ribosomal RNA
Rfam family: Bacterial small subunit ribosomal RNA
Source: RNAcentral